Molecule: long non-coding RNA, 1684 nt
Organism: Nicotiana attenuata
Lineage: Eukaryota; Viridiplantae; Streptophyta; Magnoliopsida; Solanales; Solanaceae
Exons: 2
Source: RefSeq, a predicted model, not a curated record
CUCCUCCCAGCCGCCCUCAAACUCUCUCAAAUCUUUCCUCUUUUCUAUGAAACCCUAGCCGCCUCGCACUAAAUCCUCUCCAAAUCCGGCCACACCACGGAAUCUCUCCGUGAUUUACUUACCUCAUAUGAGCUACUAAGUUAUUAUUUGCAUGCCCAGUGAAUCACUUAGUAAUUACAAGGUUUUGUCAAGUACUAUCUCUCAGAAUCAAGCCAAUUGACUUCUAUUCCUCAAGAUUCAGUCGACAUUCUGUCUGUAUACACUGAAAAUAAGGUUAUACAGGUUUUGGAAUGGAGGUUUGAAGUAUAUCAUCAGCACCUAGAGUUUUGGGCCACCGUCCAUCUGAAGUCUUAAGCCUACUUGAAGGCCCGGAUGUAUUACUAGGUUACUUCACAUUUGUAAUUGGGUCUAUAGUAAAUUUUUUUGGGCCUGUAAUAAUUUGAGAAAAAACAAAUGGUGGGGGAAAUUAGUUAAAAGGGGUUAGAGUAUUUUAAUUUUCGUACAAACGGGUAGAAAACAUGCCUAUCGGGUCCGAAUGACCUUACUUGCUACUUGUUUGUCGUGUUUUAAUUCUAUGCACUACCUGAAAAUAGACAGCAUGCCUAUAGGACCAUCAACUUUGUAUAUUCGAUUAGAAAUCAUGAUCUAGGACCCUAAGUAACUGUUGAUUCAAUGCGGCUAAUGUAAUUUAUAACUUGUUUAGAAGACAUGCCUAUAGGACAAACAUCAAGUUAACUUGUUCGAAUAUUUACUCCUCUACUUAUAAAUCAUGUAUUAGAAAUCAACACUUAGCUAUCAUGCCUAUAGGAGUCUAUGUUAAGUAGUUUCAUAGUUGAAACUACUUGUGCUAAUAUGUCCUUCAACCGUGUUAUCCGUACUUAUCCUCCUAGAGAUCGUGACUAUAGGGUCUGUAAUUAAGGAUUUGCAUCACUUAACUACUGAUCUAUCUAAAAAUAGUCCAAAAUAAUCGUUUAGAAAUCUUGCCUAUAUGACUUUAAAAAGGAAGUCCAAUUUUUUGAUUACCCGCGUAUGAAUUCUGAGCUUGAUUAAUUAUAAUUGAUCAUCUGCGUAUUCAUAUAGAGACCAUGCCUUAGACAUAAUUAUUCCAUACACAACAGUUUGUCUUAGAAGAGCAUUUCCCUGUCUAUUCUGCUAUUGCCUAUCGUUGUUGUUUGACAAUUACUCGAUGUGCAUAUGAAUCUAUCUGUGGAGGUAAACAUAAGUGAUAAUUGUUGCCUUAUAUGGAGUCCUAUUUGUUUAUAUUACGUGGCUCCUAGUCUUUUAAUUUUGAGCAGCCUAGGAUGAGUCGAGAACUGCCUAUAUAAAAGGUCCAAUACUUCAUGGACCAUAAGCAUGGGAUGGGUAGGCACAAGUAGGGUACGACCUAGAAUCGAAUUAGUGCUCUUUAGGUUAGAAACUUAAAGAUAAUAAUUGGGUAGCUGGAGAUAAAAGUCUAUGCUCGAUGGAUAAUAUGAGCAACCAUUGCAAUCGAAAGGUUGCAAAGUAUUAUCUAUGUAGCACGGGGCGAUCCUUUAGGCUUAAAUAUUUAGGACCCCCAUUAUGCUUAUUUAGUCCCUGUAUAUUUAGUUUGUGGGAAUCCGGAUUCAACUAAGUUACACCUUCUAGUCUCUAAAGAGUUGUACUUAUUAGUUUGUUAAUGAAUGAAGUUUACUCUUCCAGAUUA